CCUACGGGUGGCAGCAGUGAGGAAUAUUGGUCAAUGGACGAGAGUCUGAACCAGCCAAGUAGCGUGAAGGAUGACUGCCCGAUGGGUUGUAAACUUCUUUUAUAUGGGAAUAAAAUGUUCCACGUGUGGGAUUUUGAAUUUACCAUAUGAAUAAGGAUCGGCUAACUCCGUGCCAGCAGCCCCGGUAAUACGGAGGAUCCGAGCGUUAUCCGGAUUUAUUGGGUUUAAAGGGAGCGUAGGUGGAUUGUUAAGUCAGGUGUGAAAGUUUGCGGCUCAACCGUAAAAUUGCAGUUGAAACUGGCAGUCUUGAGUACAGUAGAGGUGGGCGGAAUUCGUGGUGUAGCGGUGAAAUGCGUAGAUAUCACGAAGAACACCGAUUGCGAAGGCAGCUAACUGGACUGCAACUGACACUGAGGCUCGAAAGUGUGGGUAUCAAACAGGAUUAGAUACCCGUGUAGUC
Molecule: ribosomal RNA, 460 nt
Filed under: uncultured bacterium
Lineage: Bacteria
Description: partial 16S ribosomal RNA
Rfam family: Bacterial small subunit ribosomal RNA
Source: RNAcentral